GAAUCAUUGGGCGUAAAGCGCCUGUAGGUUGUUUAAUAAGUCCGUUGUUAAAGACUAGGGCUUAACCCUAGGAAAGCGAUGGAAACUGAUAGACUUGAGUAUGGCAGGGGUAGAGGGAAUUUCUAGUGUAGCGGUGAAAUGCGUAGAUAUUAGAAAGAACACCGGUGGCGAAAGCGCUCUACUGGACCAUUACUGACACUGAGAGGCGAAAGCUAGGGGAGCGAAAGGGAUUAGAUACCCCUGUAGUCCUAGCCGUAAACGAUGGAUACUAGAUGUUGUGCAAUUUGGACAGUAUCGUAGCUAACGCGUUAAGUAUCCCGCCUGGGGAGUACGCUCGCAAGGGUGAAACUCAAAGGAAUUGACGGGGGCCCGCACAAGCGGUGGAGCAUGUGGUUUAAUUCGAUGCAACGCGAAGAACCUUACCAGGGCUUGACAUACUACAGAUCUUUUUGAGAAAGAAGAGUGCCUUCGGGAAUGUAGAUACAGGUGGUGCAUGGCUGUCGUCAGCUCGUGUCGUGAGAUGUUGGGUUAAGUCCCGCAACGAGCGCAACCCUCGUUUUUAGUUGCCAAUUUAUUGGGAUCUCUAGAAAGACUGCCGGUGACAAACCGGAGGAAGGUGAGGAUGACGUCAAGUCAGCAUGCCCCUUAUGUCCUGGGCCACACACGUGCUACAAUGGUAAAGACAAAGAGUCGCCAAUUCGCGAGAAUGAGCUAAUCUCAUAAACUUUAUCUAAGUUCGGAUUGUAGGCUGCAA
RNAcentral lists this ribosomal RNA (754 nucleotides) under uncultured marine haptophyte. RNAcentral's name for it is "bacterial SSU rRNA". It matches the Rfam family "Bacterial small subunit ribosomal RNA", at positions 548 to 1310 of the family's 1533-position model. The record is from RNAcentral. Lineage: Eukaryota; Haptophyta.